GUGCUUACAAGUAGUCAGAGCCCGUUAAUGGGUGAUGGCGUGCCUUUUGUAGAAUGAACCGGCGAGUUACGAUUUGAUGCAAGGUUAAGCAGUAAAUGUGGAGCCGUAGCGAAAGCGAGUCUGAAUAGGGCGUUUAGUAUUUGGUCGUAGACCCGAAACCAGGUGAUCUACCCUUGGUCAGGUUGAAGUUCAGGUAACACUGAAUGGAGGACCGAACCGACUUACGUUGAAAAGUGAGCGGAUGAACUGAGGGUAGCGGAGAAAUUCCAAUCGAACCUGGAGAUAGCUGGUUCUCUCCGAAAUAGCUUUAGGGCUAGCCUCAAGUGAUGAUUAUUGGAGGUAGAGCACUGUUUGGACGAGGGGCCCCUCUCGGGUUACCGAAUUCAGACAAACUCCGAAUGCCAAUUAAUUUAACUUGGGAGUCAGAACAUGGGUGAUAAGGUCCGUGUUCGAAAGGGAAACAGCCCAGACCACCAGCUAAGGUCCCAAAAUAUAUGUUAAGUGGAAAAGGAUGUGGCGUUGCCCAGACAACUAGGAUGUUGGCUUAGAAGCAGCCAUCAUUUAAAGAGUGCGUAAUAGCUCACUAGUCGAGUGACACUGCGCCGAAAAUGUACCGGGGCUAAACAUAUUACCGAAGCUGUGGAUUGUCCUUUGGACAAUGGUAGGAGAGCGUUCUAAGGGCGUUGAAGCAUGAUCGUAAGGACAUGUGGAGCGCUUAGAAGUGAGAAUGCCGGUGUGAGUAGCGAAAGACGGGUGA
Molecule: ribosomal RNA, 757 nt
Filed under: Staphylococcus aureus
Lineage: Bacteria; Bacillati; Bacillota; Bacilli; Caryophanales; Staphylococcaceae
Description: partial 23S ribosomal RNA
Rfam family: Bacterial large subunit ribosomal RNA
Source: RNAcentral